Molecule: ribosomal RNA, 914 nt
Filed under: uncultured bacterium
Lineage: Bacteria
Description: bacterial SSU rRNA
Rfam family: Bacterial small subunit ribosomal RNA
Source: RNAcentral
AGAGUUUGAUCCUGGCUCAGGACGAACGCUGGCGGUGUGCUUAAGACAUGCAAGUCGAGCGGUCCCGCAAGGGACAGCGGCGGACGGGUGAGUAACACGUGGAUAACCUGCCCGACUCCCUGGGAUAACAGGCCGAAAGGCCUGCUAAUACCGGGUAAGCUCACAUCACCGCAUGGUGGUGGGAGAAAAGGUCCCGCAAGGGGCUGGGGUUGGAGGGGUCCGCGGUCCAUUAGCUAGUUGGGGGGGUAACGGCCCACCAAGGCGACGAUGGAUAGCCGGCCUGAGAGGGCGACCGGCCACACUGGGACUGAGACACGGCCCAGACUCCUACGGGAGGCAGCAGUCGGGAAUUUUGGGCAAUGGCCGAAAGGGCUGACCCAGCAACACCGCGUGAGUGAAGAAGGCCUUCGGGUUGUAAAGCUCUGUUGCCCGUGAAGAACGGUGCUUUCAGGAAAUGGGAAGCACUUGACGGUAGCGGGAGAGGAAGCUCCGGCUAACUACGUGCCAGCAGCCGCGGUAAUACGUAGGGAGCGAGCGUUGUCCGGAUUUAUUGGGCGUAAAGGGCGUGUAGGCGGCCUGUUAAGUCUGAAGUGAAAACUCGGGGCUCAACCCCGAGCCGGCUUCGGAUACUGGUGGGCUUGAGUGCUCUAGAGGGCAGUGGAAUUCCCGGUGUAGCAGUGAAAUGCGUAGAGAUCGGGAGGAACACCAGUGGCGAAGGCGACUGCCUGGGGAGUAACUGACGCUGAGGCGCGAAAGCUGGGGGAGCAAACGGGAUUAGAUACCCCGGUAGUCCCAGCCGUAAACGAUGAGUGCUAGGUGUAGCGGGUAUCGACCCCCGCUGUGCCGGAGUUAACGCAAUAAGCACUCCGCCUGGGGAGUACGGCCGCAAGGUUGAAACUCAAAGGAAUUGACGG